RNAcentral lists this ribosomal RNA (240 nucleotides) under uncultured bacterium. Its description in RNAcentral is "partial 16S ribosomal RNA". It matches the Rfam family "Bacterial small subunit ribosomal RNA", at positions 15 to 236 of the family's 1533-position model. The record is from RNAcentral.
GAUCAUGGCUCAGGAUGAACGCUGGCGGCGUGCUUAACACAUGCAAGUCGAGCGAAGCACUUAAGUUCGAUUCUUCGGAUGAAGACUUUUGUGACUGAGCGGCGGACGGGUGAGGUAACGCGUGGGUAACCUGCCUCAUACAGGGGGAUAACAGUUAGAAAUGGCUGCUAAUACCGCAUAAGACCACAGUACUGCAUGGUACGGUGGUAAAAACUCCGGUGGUAUGAGAUGGACCCGCGU